Molecule: small nuclear RNA, 161 nt
Filed under: Amazona collaria (yellow-billed parrot)
Lineage: Eukaryota; Metazoa; Chordata; Aves; Psittaciformes; Psittacidae
Description: U1 spliceosomal RNA (ENSACOG00000014946.1)
Rfam family: U1 spliceosomal RNA
About the family: U1 is a small nuclear RNA (snRNA) component of the spliceosome (involved in pre-mRNA splicing). Its 5' end forms complementary base pairs with the 5' splice junction, thus defining the 5' donor site of an intron.
Source: RNAcentral
AUACUUACCUGGCAGGGGAGACACCAUGAUCAAGCAGGUGGUUUUCCCAGGGUGAAGCUCAUCCCUUGCACUCCAGGUGUGCUGACCCUGCAAUUUCCCCGUGUCCUGGGUUCAGCAGUAGCAGUCAUUUUUCUCUUUCUUGGUAGCUGGUGCAGCACUGU